CAGGAAAAAUCCCAAAAACAAUUUCUGCUCUGGAUCUGAGAGUAUCAGUGUUAGAGUUGCCGCAGCAGUGUGCGAGAAGAAUAUUGAAGCUCCAUAUGUACUUCAGAGCUAGCUUUGGCCUCUGGAUCAUGCACUGUCAAAGAUGCUGAAAGAAUGAAGAAAUUAAAAAUGAAUUUGGAUCAGAUAUAAGAGUAGAAUUGAAGAAAAAGUCAUCAUCUGCAACAACUUUAUAUGAAAUAAGAGAGGGCGUAACACAUGAGAGCACAGUUCUUUCGCAGACUGGUGGUAUCCCUAAUGACAGACUCGAGACUGUACCAUUCCGUCCAGAACAACUUCACCAAGUUGCAUUGCCUCCUGAUGAAUACAUUAGAGUCUACUUUGAUCUAGAGACAACUGGCUUAGAUUCAUCAUGUGAAAUAACACAAAUGCGUGCAAGGUGUGGAGAUUCUUCUUUCUGUCGGUAUGUAUUACCAUCAAUUGCCAUACAGGAGACAGCUUCAAGGAUAAGGGGACUUACAUGUGAUGAUUCAACUUUAAAAAAAAAACUGCUCUAUACUGGAGUGUUUGACAUCAUUUCAUGAAUGGCUAAAUAAUACACCGAAUAUACAUAAACCAACACUAUUUGCUCAUAACUGCAGAAAAUUCGAUAGUGUUGUUCUAGGCAGAUCAAUGAGAAAAUGCUCUGAUAUGACAUUGCAAGACUGCAUUGUUGGAUUCUGUGAUACCCUGUCUAUGUUGAAGAAUCAUGCGUCUUGUAAUACCACAAAUUCAACUCUAGCGACCCUUGUGCUGGAAAUUCUAGGCUGUACAUUCGAGGCACACGAUGUACUUGAAGACAGACUGUACAUAUCUACAGAAACUUGUGGAACAUCACAGUACAUAUUCCUAUUAUUUAAACUAUACUUUCAGUAUGGAUUAUAUGAUGCAAGUUGUACUCCAAAUGGAAGACUCUAAAUCUAACUUGCAAACUUUUAUGCCCUUGUAAACAAAAAACAGUGCCUGAGAGCAUGAUGAAAAGGAUGUCUCUCUCUGGGCUUUCAAUGCAUCAUCUACAGUUAGCGUACCAACGAGGAGGCUUUGAUGGAGUACAACGUGUACUGAAUGAAAAAAAAACCCAGAGGUAACCAAACACAGGGACAUUAACAUUUCUGUUGUUGACUUAUUGAAAGAAAGAUAACAAUUUCUCAUACAUAAUGUAAAGAUAUUUUCUUUUAUUUCAAUAAUUUUAAUACUGGAUACAGCACAUUUUAAUUUAUUUAUUUUACAUAUAUAUAUAUCUAUUGAAUGUUUUCAUGUGCAGGAAUCAAGUGUUAUCAUACUCUCCUUAAUACAAAUUAGCAAAACCUUGAAGUCACUUCUCUUUCCUUAUAUAAAUCUUUAUGGGUGAUAAUGCAUUAUCUUUGAAAGACGCAUGGAAACAUUGCAUAAAAAUGUUUGAUUUAUUAUAAUAAUCAUUAGUAUGAGACAGUAAAAUGUCAUUUGCUUUAAAAUUUACACUUUCAAUUUUGGUACCUGAGGAUCGG
Molecule: long non-coding RNA, 1523 nt
Organism: Magallana angulata
Lineage: Eukaryota; Metazoa; Mollusca; Bivalvia; Ostreida; Ostreidae
Exons: 3
Source: RefSeq, a predicted model, not a curated record